AGUGAACGCUGGCGGUAGGCCUAACACAUGCAAGUCGAACGGCAGCACAGUAAGAGCUUGCUCUUACGGGUGGCGAGUGGCGGACGGGUGAGGAAUACAUCGGAAUCUACUUUUUCGUGGGGGAUAACGUAGGGAAACUUACGCUAAUACCGCAUACGACCUACGGGUGAAAGCAGGGGAUCUUCGGACCUUGCGCGAUUGAAUGGGCCGAUGUCGGAUUAGCUAGUUGGCGGGGUAAAGGCCCACCAAGGCGACGAUCCGUAGCUGGUCUGAGAGGAUGAUCAGCCGCACUGGAACUGAGACACGGUCCAGACUCCUACGGGAGGCAGCAGUGGGGAAUAUUGGACAAUGGGCGCAAGCCUGAUCCAGCCAUACCGCGUGGGUGAAGAAGGCCUUCGGGUUGUAAAGCCCUUUUGUUGGGAAAGAAAAGCAGCAGGUUAAUACCCCGCUGUUCUGACGGUACCCAAAGAAUAAGCACCGGCUAACUUCGUG
RNAcentral lists this ribosomal RNA (492 nucleotides) under uncultured bacterium. RNAcentral describes it as "partial 16S ribosomal RNA". It matches the Rfam family "Bacterial small subunit ribosomal RNA", at positions 29 to 507 of the family's 1533-position model. The record is from RNAcentral.